This is a long non-coding RNA of Anneissia japonica, 847 nucleotides long. RefSeq lists it as uncharacterized. The record is from RefSeq and is a predicted model, not a curated record. The transcript is spliced from 3 exons. NCBI's taxonomy places the organism in Eukaryota, Metazoa, Echinodermata, Crinoidea, Comatulida, Comatulidae.
UCCAAUGAAUGUACAAGCACUAACGAAUAUAGAAACACUCCAACGAAUGUACAAGUACUCCAAUGAAUGUACAAGCACUAACGAAUAUAGAAACACUCCAAUGAAUGUACAAGUACUCCAACGAAUAUGCAAUUAAUUGAACACAAUGCCCAGUACAGUGACAACGUUAGGUUAUAUCUUGGUGUUUUUUUUUUGGUGAGAUCGUGAUGCCUGCCAAAUUUUAUAAAUACCGUGCAUCAGGUAGGCUAUCCUAAUUAAUAGUCCAUGGUCUUGGGCUAUUACUCUGUACCUCAAGGACGCUGGUUAACAUAACAUGAAGGUCUCAAGUUUCAGACCACAGGCAUUUAUUUGGAGCAUGGAGGUAUUUUUAUAUCCCUUUUAAUUUACUAUUUUACUGAAGCUUGUGAAAUUACUCCACAUUAGAUGUUUUGAUCACUUCCUAUUAAUGAAAUUAUCCUGUUGAAGAAACCAAGUAGGCCCUAUUGCAUUUUGAACUGAUGAUGACGGAUGAAUCAACACAUGUACAAGUGUAGUGUAUUUGGCCGCGGUAAAUCAUGGACAGACAAACUUUGGAAGAAUUUGUCAAUAUGGGAUACAAGAAUUCGGAAAUUGCAGAAAAAAUGGGGAUAAGCGUUAGAAGUGUGAAAAAUAUGCGUCGGGAAUUUCAUUUGAGAAAAAAAGAUUUAUCUAGUAAAAUCAGUGAUGCAUCUCUCGAUGAAUCGAUUCUUAAGAUUGUUACCCGUAAUCCAGAAUAUGGCGAAAAAAUUAUAGCAGGAAACCUGAAUUUUGAGGGAGUACAUGCGACACGUGCAAGAAUUAGGGAGUCUAUGCAUAGAGUUGACCCUGA